GACGAACGCUGGCGGCGUGCUUAACACAUGCAAGUCGAACGGAAAGGCCCUGCUUUUGUGGGGUGCUCGAGUGGCGAACGGGUGAGUAACACGUGAGUAACCUGCCCUUGACUUUGGGAUAACUUCAGGAAACUGGGGCUAAUACCGGAUAGGAGCUCCUGCUGCAUGGUGGGGGUUGGAAAGUUUCGGCGGUUGGGGAUGGACUCGCGGCUUAUCAGCUUGUUGGUGGGGUAGUGGCUUACCAAGGCUUUGACGGGUAGCCGGCUGAGAGGGUGACCGGCCACAUUGGGACUGAGAUACGGCCCAGACUCCUACGGGAGGCAGCAGUGGGGAAUAUUGCACAAUGGGCGGAAGCCUGAUGCAGCAACGCCGCGUGCGGGAUGACGGCCUUCGGGUUGUAAACCGCUUUCGCCUGUGACGAAGCGUGAGUGACGGUAAUGGGUAAAGAAGCACCGGCUAACUACGU
Molecule: ribosomal RNA, 466 nt
Filed under: uncultured bacterium
Lineage: Bacteria
Description: partial 16S ribosomal RNA
Rfam family: Bacterial small subunit ribosomal RNA
Source: RNAcentral